AUGUUAAUAAUAUAACUUAUAACUUUCAUGAAAAUGUGCAAUACAAAGUAUAAUAAUUCUUGAAUUAAUAAAUAUUUGUAUUUAUAUAAUUAAUUAAAAUUAUAAUAAAUUAAUAUUUUAAUUUAAAUAAUUAAAUAUAAUAUUUAUAGUUCUGGUUCACCAUGUGACAAGAAUGAUCUCAUGCACGAGACCAAUGAAAUCACAACAUGUUAAGUAACUUAGUUAGAAAAUUUGAUUUAAAUAAACUCUUCUUAUUUAUAUCUUCUUUUCUCUCUCUCUCUCUUUCUCUCCUAUGUUGAUUUGGGCUCUGUUUGGCAUCAGAGGAAAUGAGUUACUUUCUUUUUAUCAUUUCUCCGAAUAAAUUUCUCUUAUUUUUUACUUUCUUCUUAUCACUUUUCAUCAUUUUCCAUUUCCUUUAUUCUAUUUGAUUCAUUCUUCAUCUCAGAUCUCAUAUAGCUAAGCACAAGUGUUUGUAGCUUUCUGAUCCCAAAAGCCCAAUGACUAGAUCACUGUUGCUGCUCACCUUGUGAAUGCAUCCAGCCCUCUAACUCAAAUGGUUUUCUCAAAUGAGAACUUUUUAUCCAUGGUGAUUGAUUUGGGGGGGUUCUAAUUUCAAUUUGGAUUCAUUUACUUUUGAUAAUGGGGGCAUUAUUCUUAUUAUGAAAUUUGGAGACAGUCGGAUUGGAGACACUUCAUUGAUAGGAUACUAAAUUCAUCAAUAGGAUUUUUGGGUGGCUGAGUUUCUUGAUUCUUAUUUAUGGGAUUUUAAUUCAUUGCAGUUAACUCUUGUAGAGGAAUUUUCGUUGCUUUUAUUAGAUGUCACCACUCUGCCCCUUAGUUUGAAAACUGCUGGCGUAUCAUGUCAAGAAGCACUUUUGUAGAAUUAUGAUGAAGAAAUGAAAUGCGAUACACCAAUACAAUUGUGUCAAGGUUUGCCUAUCUAGACAUGAUCACAAAAGGUGGGUAUUCAAUCAGGCCAUUCACUAGCUAGACAGCAACUAACUUGCAGAGGCUACGUAAAUGGCGUUCACAAAAGAGAAUAUUGUUAAUGUAAAUGGUGUGAAGGUUUGUGCUUUUUUAUUUUUUUAUUCAGUUUAUAUUCAAUAGAUGGGCUGAAUGAUCUUGAAAAGAAAAAGUAUCGUGAUAAUGGAUUAAUUAAACGUUUAACUGUCAGCUUGACGUUGUUUAAAUUGAUUUGGAAACUUGUAACGGACGAACCGUGUUAAUAAAAUUAUUAAAUUUAUUUUUUAAGCAGAA
Molecule: unclassified non-coding RNA, 1257 nt
Filed under: Hevea brasiliensis (rubber tree)
Lineage: Eukaryota; Viridiplantae; Streptophyta; Magnoliopsida; Malpighiales; Euphorbiaceae
Source: RNAcentral